This 756-nucleotide ribosomal RNA is filed under the name uncultured Actinomyces sp. RNAcentral describes it as "bacterial SSU rRNA". It matches the Rfam family "Bacterial small subunit ribosomal RNA", at positions 28 to 776 of the family's 1533-position model. Lineage: Bacteria; Bacillati; Actinomycetota; Actinomycetes; Actinomycetales; Actinomycetaceae. The record is from RNAcentral.
GACGAACGCUGGCGGCGUGCUUAACACAUGCAAGUCGAACGCUGAAGACCUGGCUUUUGUUGGGUUGGAUGAGUGGCGAACGGGUGAGUAACACGUGAGUAACCUGCCCCCUUCUUUGGGAUAACGCCCGGAAACGGGUGCUAAUACUGGAUAUUCACUGGCCUUCGCAUGGGGGUUGGUGGAAAGGUUUGUUCUGGUGGGGGAUGGGCUCGCGGCCUAUCAGCUUGUUGGUGGGGUGAUGGCCUACCAAGGCUUUGACGGGUAGCCGGCCUGAGAGGGUGACCGGUCACAUUGGGACUGAGAUACGGCCCAGACUCCUACGGGAGGCAGCAGUGGGGAAUAUUGCACAAUGGGCGAAAGCCUGAUGCAGCGACGCCGCGUGAGGGAUGGAGGCCUUCGGGUUGUAAACCUCUUUCGCUCAUGGUCAAGCCGCAACUGUGGGUUGUGGUGAGGGUAGUGGGUAAAGAAGCGCCGGCUAACUACGUGCCAGCAGCCGCGGUAAUACGUAGGGCGCGAGCGUUGUCCGGAAUUAUUGGGCGUAAAGGGCUUGUAGGCGGUUGGUCGCGUCUGCCGUGAAAUCCUCUGGCUUAACUGGGGGCGUGCGGUGGGUACGGGCUGACUUGAGUGCGGUAGGGGAGACUGGAACUCCUGGUGUAGCGGGUGGAAUGCGCAGAUAUCAGGAAGAACACCGGUGGCGAAGGCGGGUCUCUGGGCCGUUACUGACGCUGAGGAGCGAAAGCGUGGGGAGCGAACAGG